This 517-nucleotide ribosomal RNA is filed under the name uncultured bacterium. RNAcentral describes it as "bacterial SSU rRNA". It matches the Rfam family "Bacterial small subunit ribosomal RNA", at positions 32 to 518 of the family's 1533-position model. The record is from RNAcentral.
GGACGACGCUGGCGGCGUGCCUAAUACAUGCAAGUCGAACGGUCUUUCUAUGGAAGCUUGCUUCCACUGAGAAGAUAGUGGCGAACGGGUGAGUAACACGUGGGUAACCUGCCCAUAAGAGGGGGAUAACAUCCGGAAACGGGUGCUAAUACCGCAUAGUUUUCUUGAUCGCAUGAUCGGGAAAGGAAAGACGGCCUUUGUGCUGUCGCUUAUGGAUGGACCCGCGGCGUAUUAGUUAGUUGGUGAGGUAAUGGCUCACCAAGACGAUGAUACGUAGCCGACCUGAGAGGGUGAUCGGCCACAUUGGGACUGAGACACGGCCCAAACUCCUACGGGAGGCAGCAGUAGGGAAUCUUCCGCAAUGGACGAAAGUCUGACGGAGCAACGCCGCGUGAGUGAAGAAAGGUUUUCGGAUCGUAAAACUCUGUUGUCAGAGAAGAACAAGUUGGAGAGUAACUGCUCCAGCCUUGACGGUAUCUGACCAGAAAGCCACGGCUAACUACGUGCCAGCCGCUGC